AAAAUAAAUAAAACAUCAAAAGAUUUUCCUUUGCAGUUUUGAUGAGCAUGAUUUCCAAAUGGAUUCAGGGAGGAGGGAAUGAAAAAUCGAUGUCGAUGACACAGAGGUCAGAAACAUUUGGCUGGAGGCGCUAGUAACCAAGUGCAAAAGAAGGUUUCCCAAAGCAUGGCUUAUGGGCUACUCACAUAAGUACCUGAGGAAGCUAAAUGCAAUUCAGUUUCCAGCUCCUUCUCUAAUUUUACUAAGAAUUUGAGAACAGACUCCAGAAGCAAUUUUGUUGACCAAGAGCACCCAACAGAAUUGGCAACGAGAAGAGCGUGGCGCAGUACCCGGGAAGCGUUAAAUGCUAGAAAGCUCCGUAGGUGAUGCUGACAGAUGACACUGGGGCAUUGGCAAGAUUCGAGUAUGCAUAUAUGCACAAAGAGAAAAAUCCCUCCCUAUCCCCCAAGAGGAUGAAGGUUCUGGAGAGAAAUGGGCUCUGA
RNAcentral lists this long non-coding RNA (482 nucleotides) under Canis lupus dingo (dingo). Its description in RNAcentral is "lncRNA (ENSCAFG00020000499.1)". The record is from RNAcentral. Lineage: Eukaryota; Metazoa; Chordata; Mammalia; Carnivora; Canidae.